RNAcentral lists this small nucleolar RNA (84 nucleotides) under Henningerozyma blattae CBS 6284. RNAcentral describes it as "Tetrapisispora blattae CBS 6284 Small nucleolar RNA snR78". It matches the Rfam family "Small nucleolar RNA snR78". The record is from Rfam by way of RNAcentral. Lineage: Eukaryota; Fungi; Ascomycota; Saccharomycetes; Saccharomycetales; Saccharomycetaceae.
UCCGCUGAUGACCAUGAUAAAAAAUACAAACUAGAGUUUCUGAAUCUAAAUGAUUAGAACACCGAUCAUGCGAAAGCACUGAGG